UACGUAGGGCGCGAGCGUUAUCCGGAAUUAUUGGGCGUAAAGCGAGCGCAGGCGGUCUUUUAAGUCUGAUGUGAAAGCCCACGGCUCAACCGUGGAGGGUCAUUGGAAACUGGGAGACUUGAGUGUAGGAGAGGAAAGUGGAAUUCCACGUGUAGCGGUGAAAUGCGUAGAUAUGUGGAGGAACACCAGUGGCGAAGGCGACUUUCUGGCCUAAUACUGACGCUGAGGCGCGAAAGCGUGGGGAGCAAACAGG
RNAcentral lists this unclassified non-coding RNA (253 nucleotides) under uncultured Sporolactobacillaceae bacterium. Its description in RNAcentral is "contains 16S-23S intergenic spacer region". It matches the Rfam family "Bacterial small subunit ribosomal RNA", at positions 524 to 776 of the family's 1533-position model. Lineage: Bacteria; Bacillati; Bacillota; Bacilli; Caryophanales; Sporolactobacillaceae. The record is from RNAcentral.